Molecule: ribosomal RNA, 253 nt
Filed under: uncultured bacterium
Lineage: Bacteria
Description: partial 16S ribosomal RNA
Rfam family: Bacterial small subunit ribosomal RNA
Source: RNAcentral
UACAGGGGGUGCAAGCGUUGCUCGGAAUCAUUGGGCGUAAAGCGCACGUAGGCGGUUCGUUAUGUCGGAUGUGAAAGCCCUUGGCUUAACCGAGGAAGUGCAUCCGAAACUGGCGAGCUAGAGUACUAAAGAGGAUCGCGGAAUUCCCGGUGUAGAGGUGAAAUUCGUAGAUAUCGGGAGGAACACCGGUGGCGAAGGCGGCGAUCUGGGUAGAUACUGACGCUGAGGUGCGAAAGCGUGGGGAGCGAACAGG